CGGGAGGCUCCACCAGUAAGGAAUAUUGCGCAAUGGAGGCAACUCUGACGCAGCCAUGCCGCGUGCAGGAAGAAGGCCUUAUGGGUCGUAAACUGCUUUUAUUUAGGAAUAAACCCCCGAACGUGUUCGGGGCUGAAGGUACUAAACGAAUAAGCACCGGCUAACUCCGUGCCAGCAGCCGCGGUAAUACGGAGGGUGCAAGCGUUAUCCGGAUUUAUUGGGUUUAAAGGGUGCGCAGGCGGGCUAUUAAGUCAGUGGUGAAAUCCCGGGGCUCAACUCCGGAACUGCCAUUGAUACUGAUAGUCUUGAGUUUGGUUGAAGUGGGCGGAAUGUAGCAUGUAGCGGUGAAAUGCAUAGAUAUGCUACAGAACACCAAUCGCGAAGGCAGCUCACUAAGCCAAAACUGACGCUCAUGCACGAAAGCGUGGGGAUCAAACAGGAUUAGAUACCCUUGUAGUC
Molecule: ribosomal RNA, 459 nt
Filed under: uncultured bacterium
Lineage: Bacteria
Description: partial 16S ribosomal RNA
Rfam family: Bacterial small subunit ribosomal RNA
Source: RNAcentral